Molecule: long non-coding RNA, 1157 nt
Organism: Impatiens glandulifera
Lineage: Eukaryota; Viridiplantae; Streptophyta; Magnoliopsida; Ericales; Balsaminaceae
Exons: 4
Source: RefSeq, a predicted model, not a curated record
UUUUCACUCUCUCUAGAAUUGUAGAAAGAGAAAACUGCGCAGCCGCGGGAGGACGCUGUCCGUGAAGAAGCUCAUCCGAUGGCGUUUGACGCUCGAAUGACGGUUGAGGGUGAUCUGGAGCGUUGCAACGAUGGUUUCUUGCGAGGAUAAACCCUGAGUUCGAUCCGAUGUGAUACGCGAGAGUUUUCCAUCCGAGCCUAGAAGCCUUUCGAUGUGGAGCUCCAGUGAUCUUUCGAGACUUUCUUCUUCUUGGAGAUAUUGUUUUUCAGGCAAAAGAGGAGCUUACAGACAGCAGCCAAGACAGUUAAGGAUUUGGAAAGCAUCUCCAUUGAACAGAUCUUGAGAGAGAUUUAAACUCUCCGGGAAUUCCUUUUCCCGCCUUCAUUGCAUUCUACAAACCUAGGAAAUGAUGAAGAAAAUCACACUGAAAAGAUCUGAAGGAAAGAUAUGUCAGAUUCUUGAGCUUCAUGAGCUUCAACCACCACGCCUCAGCUCCAAUGGACCCUACAAACCCCAUGCAAAAGAGGAGCUUGUAGACAGCAGCCAGGACAGUCCUUCAGUAGCUCCGGUUCUUCCAAAAUUUCAAGUGAAGGAUUUGGAGAGCUUAGAUGGGAAGUAUGACACGGUGGUGUGUUUGGAUGUAUUAAUACACUAUCCACAAAACAAAGCAGAUGGAAUGAUUGCUCAUCUUGCUUCAUUAGCAGAGAAUCGGUUAAUUCUAAGCUUUGCACCAAAAACGUACUAGGGUUGAAAAGGAUUGGAGAAUUGUUCCCUGGACCUUCUAAGGCAACUAGGGUUUAUCUUCAUUCAGAGGCUAUGUUGAAGCAGCAUUGAAGAAGGUAGGAUGGAAAAUAAGGAAGAAAGGCUUAAUCACUACACAAUUUUAUUUUGCAAGGCUAGUUGAGGCUGUUCCUGUUUCUACUGCUGGUUAGUUAUUGAAGGCUGUGGCACAAACUCACUAAUUUGCGGUUUCAUGAAAUCAUGUUUGUAGAAUCGUGCUAGAUAUAGGUAUGUUAUAUAGUUAAAUUUUUGCUGUAAGAAUGACCAGAAUUCUCACUUUCCACUAUCCUUUGUUUUGAAUAGUCGGUUGUGUUUGUAUUGUUUGAUGUCGUUUCGCAGAUCUCGACGACUUUAAUUUUAAGGUAAAUUUGUUGUAA